RNAcentral lists this ribosomal RNA (866 nucleotides) under uncultured bacterium. Its description in RNAcentral is "bacterial SSU rRNA". It matches the Rfam family "Bacterial small subunit ribosomal RNA", at positions 41 to 904 of the family's 1533-position model. The record is from RNAcentral.
ANUNNGGCNGCUACCAUGCAAGUCGAGGGGUAACAGGGAUUGCUUGCAAUCCGCUGACGACCGGCGCACGGGUGCGUAACGCGUAUACAAUCUACCUUGUACUAGGGGAUAGCCUUUAGAAAUGAAGAUUAAUACCCUAUAGUCUAUUUGAAUGGCAUCGUUUAAAUAGUAAAGGUUACGGUACAAGAUGAGUAUGCGUCCUAUUAGUUAGUUGGUGUGGUAACGGCACACCAAGACUACGAUAGGUAGGGGCCCUGAGAGGGGGAUCCCCCACACUGGUACUGAGACACGGACCAGACUCCUACGGGAGGCAGCAGUGAGGAAUAUUGGACAAUGGGCGAGAGCCUGAUCCAGCCAUGCCGCGUGCAGGAAGACGGCCCUAUGGGUUGUAAACUGCUUUUAUACAGGAAGAAACACUCCCUCGUGAGGGAGCUUGACGGUACUGUAAGAAUAAGGACCGGCUAACUCCGUGCCAGCAGCCGCGGUAAUACGGAGGGUCCGAGCGUUAUCCGGAAUCAUUGGGUUUAAAGGGUCCGUAGGCGGGCAGCUCAGUCAGUGGUGAAAGUUUGCAGCUCAACUGUAAAAUUGCCAUUGAUACUGGUUGUCUUGAAUUAAUGUGAAGUGGUUAGAAUAUGUAGUGUAGCGGUGAAAUGCAUAGAUAUUACAUGGAAUACCAAUUGCGAAGGCAGAUCACUAACAUUAUAUUGACGCUGAUGGACGAAAGCGUGGGGAGCGAACAGGAUUAGAUACCCUGGUAGUCCACGCCGUAAACGAUGGAUACUAGCUGUUCGAUCUUCGGAUUGAGUGGCUAAGCGAAAGUGAUAAGUAUCCCACCUGGGGAGUACGUUCGCAAGAAUGAAACUCAA